RNAcentral lists this non-coding RNA (27 nucleotides) under Mus musculus (house mouse). Lineage: Eukaryota; Metazoa; Chordata; Mammalia; Rodentia; Muridae. The record is from RNAcentral.
UGACGCCUGCCUCCAUGAUGAACCGGU